This 464-nucleotide ribosomal RNA is filed under the name uncultured bacterium. RNAcentral's name for it is "partial 16S ribosomal RNA". It matches the Rfam family "Bacterial small subunit ribosomal RNA", at positions 28 to 506 of the family's 1533-position model. The record is from RNAcentral.
GACGAACGCUGGCGGCGUGCUUAACACAUGCAAGUCGAACGGAAAGGCCCUGCUUGCAGGGUACUCGAGUGGCGAACGGGUGAGUAACACGUGGGUGAUCUGCCCUGCACUUCGGGAUAAGCCUGGGAAACUGGGUCUAAUACCGGAUAGGAGCCAUUUUUAGUGUGAUGGUUGGAAAGUUUUUUCGGUGUAGGAUGAGCUCGCGGCCUAUCAGCUUGUUGGUGGGGUAAUGGCCUACCAAGGCGGCGACGGGUAGCCGGCCUGAGAGGGUGGACGGCCACAUUGGGACUGAGAUACGGCCCAGACUCCUACGGGAGGCAGCAGUGGGGAAUAUUGCACAAUGGGCGCAAGCCUGAUGCAGCGACGCCGCGUGGGGGAUGACGGCCUUCAGGUUGUAAACUCCUUUCGCUAGGGACGAAGCUUUUUGUGACGGUACCUAGAUAAGAAGCACCGGCUAACUACGU